UACGGGGGGGGCAAGCGUUGUUCGGAAUUACUGGGCGUAAAGGGCUUGUAGGCGGCCAACUAAGUCAUACGUGAAAUCCCUCGGCUUAACCGGGGAACUGCGUCUGAUACUGGAUGGCUUGAGAUUGGGAGAGGGAUGCGGAAUUCCAGGUGUAGCGGUGAAAUGCGUAGAUAUCUGGAGGAACACCGGUGGCGAAGGCGGCGUUCUGGACUGUUUCUGACACUGAAACGCGAAAGCCAGGGGAGCAAACGGG
RNAcentral lists this ribosomal RNA (253 nucleotides) under uncultured bacterium. RNAcentral describes it as "partial 16S ribosomal RNA". It matches the Rfam family "Bacterial small subunit ribosomal RNA", at positions 524 to 776 of the family's 1533-position model. The record is from RNAcentral.